Molecule: ribosomal RNA, 252 nt
Filed under: uncultured bacterium
Lineage: Bacteria
Description: partial 16S ribosomal RNA
Rfam family: Bacterial small subunit ribosomal RNA
Source: RNAcentral
UACGGAGGAUGCGAGCGUUAUCCGGAUUUAUUGGGUUUAAAGGGUGCGUAGGCGGGCUUUUAAGUCAGCGGUAAAAAUUCGGGGCUCAACCCCGCCCGGCCGUUGAAACUGGGGGCCUUGAGUGGACGAGAAGAAGGCGGAAUGCGUGGUGUAGCGGUGAAAUGCAUAGAUAUCACGCAGAACCCCGAUUGCGAAGGCAGCCUUCCGGCGCCCUACUGACGCUGAGGCACGAAAGUGCGGGGAUCGAACAGG